AGAGCUGAGUGGGCUGAGAAGCAACCUGAUCCAUGACAGAGAUCAACACAAAGUCUAGCACUUGGGUCCGAAUGGCAUCUUGCAGGAAGAAUGGCAGCUUUCUGAUAAUGGUUGGAUUGGAGCAGUUGGCUCAGGUUAAGGCCAAAAUGGAAGCUUGAAUUGGAGUAGCGAGGCUCAUAGAAGGGCAGGACUGGCCUGAUGCCCCACUCCCUGAUACAGGAGGAAGAGGAGCUGGACAGAGAGAGAGAGAGAGAA
Non-coding RNA from Leptonychotes weddellii (Weddell seal), 255 nucleotides. NCBI's taxonomy places the organism in Eukaryota, Metazoa, Chordata, Mammalia, Carnivora, Phocidae. The record is from RefSeq and is a predicted model, not a curated record.